RNAcentral lists this long non-coding RNA (615 nucleotides) under Mytilus galloprovincialis (Mediterranean mussel). Lineage: Eukaryota; Metazoa; Mollusca; Bivalvia; Mytilida; Mytilidae. The record is from RNAcentral.
CGCUAAGGUUGAACCAAAGUGCUUUUUGUUUUUGGGAAUAAUGUUCAUGCAAGAUGUGUGUGUCCCGCAAAAGGAUGCCACUUCUCGUAUUUGUGGUAAAAAUGACAUUUUUCGAAAGUCUGUAAAUCUAACACGACAAAGUCUGGAACAUGUGCCUUUUGUUCUAUAUCAUGUAUAUAAGCAACUGUGAGUAAUGCAUCUCCGCAUGUUGAGAAAAAGACAAUUGAUAUCAGCAAUUACUAUGAAUGACGCUACUGGAAGUGUAUCACUGACAUUCAGUGCUCUAAGUAGGAAUUUGCUAUGUAAACUUGCACAUUGAUCAAAAUUUUUAUCCCAAUAUGCUGUUGUCUCACUUCAACAAAAACCGGUUGUGACAUUAUCUUAGGACAGGAAUUCAUGACAAGACACCAUAGUAUCAAGUUUUGUUGUCAGCCGUCGAAAUUAAUUAUCUAAAUAUAUUAGUAGUCUAGUUGCUCAAACUGUUGAUCCCCUGAACUAUUUGCAAACUUGAUAUGUGAAUUUUGACAUAUUGCUACAAAAUCAUGGAAGUUCAGUACAGCCGAUAGCAAAGUGCCGUUUGUACCAAUUUCGACGAGUCAUAUUAGUAUUGGCGUU